CGGAGGGGCUAGCGUUGUUCGGAAUUACUGGGGCGUAAAAGCGCACGUAGGCGGCCGUUUAAGUUAGAGGUGAAAGCCCGGGGGCUCAACCCCGGAAUUGCCUUUGAUACUGGAUGGCUUGAAUCCAGGAGAGGUGAGUGGAAUUCCGAGUGUAGAGGUGAAAUUCGUAGAUAUUCGGAAGAACACCAGUGGCGAAGGCGGCUCACUGGACUGGUAUUGACGCUGAGGUGCGAAAGCGUGGGGAGCAAACAGGAUU
This 256-nucleotide ribosomal RNA is filed under the name uncultured bacterium. Its description in RNAcentral is "partial 16S ribosomal RNA". It matches the Rfam family "Bacterial small subunit ribosomal RNA", at positions 527 to 779 of the family's 1533-position model. The record is from RNAcentral.